RNAcentral lists this RNase P RNA (412 nucleotides) under Lautropia sp. Its description in RNAcentral is "RNase P RNA component class A". It matches the Rfam family "Bacterial RNase P class A". Rfam says of the family: Ribonuclease P (RNase P) is a ubiquitous endoribonuclease, found in archaea, bacteria and eukarya as well as chloroplasts and mitochondria. Lineage: Bacteria; Pseudomonadati; Pseudomonadota; Betaproteobacteria; Burkholderiales; Burkholderiaceae. The record is from RNAcentral.
GGAGCGGGUCGGACGGUCGCCGGAAGUUUUCCGGAGGAAGGUCCGGACUCCAUCGGGCAGGAUGCUGGCUAACGGCCAGGCGCUAUACGGCUGCAAAGUGGGAAUUCUUCCCACCGGGCUGCUCAAGGCGACGGACAGUGGCACAGAAAACAAACCGCCAAACCCACGAAAGGGUCGGGCAAGGGUGAAAAGGUGGGGUAAGAGCCCACCGCGCGGCUGGUGACAGGCGUGGCAGGCCAAACCCCAUCCGGAGCAACAUCAUGUAGGCGUGCGACGCGGCCAGGUCCGCAUAGGGUGGCCCAUCCGUGCAUGCGGGUAGAUGGCUAGAGCCGGCCGGCAACGGCCGGCCCAGAGGAAUGACCGUCACGCCCCUGCGGGCGGACAGAAUCCGGCCUAUAGACCCGCUCCCCCU